Molecule: ribosomal RNA, 261 nt
Filed under: uncultured bacterium
Lineage: Bacteria
Description: partial 16S ribosomal RNA
Rfam family: Bacterial small subunit ribosomal RNA
Source: RNAcentral
CGGCACGGGUGAGUAACGCGUAUGCGACCUGCCCGUUGCAGGGGGGAUAAUCGGGAGAAAUCCCGUCUAAUACCGCGUAACGCCGCGGGGCUGCAUGGCCCUGCGGCCAAAGGGAGCGAUUCCGGCAACGGAUGGGCAUGCGUGACAUUAGCUAGUUGGCGGGGCAACGGCCCACCAAGGCGACGAUGCCUAGGGGUUCUGAGAGGAAGGUCCCCCACACUGGUACUGAAACACGGACCAGACUCCUACGGAAGGCAGCAG